GAUGAACGCUGGCGGCGUGCCUAAUACAUGCAAGUCGAGCGGUAAGGCCUCUUCGGAGGUACACGAGCGGCGGACGGCUUAGUAACACGUAGGAACGUACCCCAAACUGAGGGAUAACUGCUCGAAAGAGUAGCUAAUACCGCAUGUGGUCUUCGGAUUAAAGCUUCGGCGGUUUGGGAACGGCCUGCGUCUGAUUAGCUUGUUGGUGAGGUAAUGGCUCACCAAGGCGACGAUCAGUAGCUGGUCUGAGAGGAUGAUCAGCAAGACUGGGACUGAGACACGGCCCAGACUCCUACGGGAGGCAGCAGUAGGGAAUUUUCCACAAUGGGCGAAAGCCUGAUGGAGCAACGCCGCGUGCAGGAUGAAUGCCUUCGGGUUGUAAACUGCUUUUAUAUGUGACGAAUAUGACGGUAGCAUAUGAAUAAGGAUCGGCUAACUCCGUGCCAGCAGCCGCCGUAAUAC
Molecule: ribosomal RNA, 462 nt
Filed under: uncultured bacterium
Lineage: Bacteria
Description: bacterial SSU rRNA
Rfam family: Bacterial small subunit ribosomal RNA
Source: RNAcentral